Molecule: ribosomal RNA, 478 nt
Filed under: uncultured anaerobic ammonium-oxidizing bacterium
Lineage: Bacteria
Description: bacterial SSU rRNA
Rfam family: Bacterial small subunit ribosomal RNA
Source: RNAcentral
UUUCGCAAUGCCCGAAAGGGUGACGAAGCGACGCCGCGUGCGGGAAGAAGGCCUUCGGGUUGUAAACCGCCGUCGGGAGUUAGGAAGUGCAAGGAUGUUAAUAGCAUUCUUGCUUGACUAAGGCUCCGGAGGAAGCCACGGCUAACUCUGUGCCAGCAGCCGCGGUAAUACAGAGGCGGCAAGCGUUGUUCGGAAUUAUUGGGCGUAAAGAGCACGUAGGCGGCUGUGUAAGUCGGUUGUGAAAGCCUUCCGCUUAACGGAAGAACGGCAUCCGAUACUGCAUAGCUUGAGUGCGGGAGGGGAGAGUGGAACUUCUGGUGGAGCGGUGAAAUGCGUAGAUAUCAGAAGGAACACCGGCGGCGAAGGCGACUCUCUGGUCCGUAACUGACGCUGAGUGUGCGAAAGCUAGGGGAGCAAACGGGAUUAGAUACCCCGGUAGUCCUAGCCGUAAACGAUGGGCACUAAGUAGAGGGGUUUU